UAGGGAAUAUUAGUAAUGGGCGAAAGCCUGAACUAGCAACGCCGCGUGUGCGAAGAAGGCCUUCGGGUUGUAAAGCACUUUUUGAGAGGAUGAGGAAGGACGGUACUCUCAGAAUAAGUCUCGGCUAACUACGUGGCAGCAGCCGCGGUAACACGUAGGAGGCGAACGUUAUCCGGAUUUACUGGGCGUAAAGCGCGUGUAGGUGGUUUGGUAAGUAGGGCGUGAAAGCUCCUGGCUCAACUGGGAGAGGCCGUUCUAAACUGCCGAACUAGAGGAUGGUAGAGGGAGGUGGAAUUCCGGGUGUAGCGGUGGAAUGCGCAGAUAUCCGGAGGAACACCAGUGGCGAAAGCGGCCUCCUGGACCACUCCUGACACUCAGACGCGAAAGCUAGGGUAGCAAACG
RNAcentral lists this ribosomal RNA (402 nucleotides) under uncultured bacterium. Its description in RNAcentral is "bacterial SSU rRNA". It matches the Rfam family "Bacterial small subunit ribosomal RNA", at positions 355 to 774 of the family's 1533-position model. The record is from RNAcentral.